CCUACGGGUGGCAGCAGUGAGGAAUAUUGGUCAAUGGGCGGAAGCCUGAACCAGCCAAGUAGCGUGCAGGAUGACGGCCCUACGGGUUGUAAACUGCUUUUAUACGGGAAUAACGCGCCUUACGUGUAUUGCUUUGCAUGUACCGUAUGAAUAAGGACCGGCUAAUUCCGUGCCAGCAGCCGCGGUAAUACGGAGGGUCCAGGCGUUAUCCGGAUUUAUUGGGUUUAAAGGGAGCGUAGGCCGCAUGUCAAGCGUGCUGUGAAAUGUCCGGGCUCAACCCGGGCCUUGCAGCGAGAACUGGCGUGCUUGAGUGCGCGGAAGGCAGGCGGAAUUCGUCGUGUAGCGGUGAAAUGCUUAGAUAUGACGAAGAACCCCGAGUGCGAAGGCAGCUUGCUGCAGCGGAACUGACGCUGAUGCUCGAAAGCGCGGGUAUCGAACAGGAUUAGAUACCCCGGUAGUC
Molecule: ribosomal RNA, 460 nt
Filed under: uncultured bacterium
Lineage: Bacteria
Description: partial 16S ribosomal RNA
Rfam family: Bacterial small subunit ribosomal RNA
Source: RNAcentral